This 253-nucleotide ribosomal RNA is filed under the name uncultured bacterium. Its description in RNAcentral is "partial 16S ribosomal RNA". It matches the Rfam family "Bacterial small subunit ribosomal RNA", at positions 524 to 776 of the family's 1533-position model. The record is from RNAcentral.
UACGGAGGGUGCAAGCGUUAUCCGGAUUCACUGGGUUUAAAGGGCGCGUAGGCGGGCAGUUAAGUCAGUGGUGAAAUCCUUGAGCUCAACUCGAGAACUGCCAUUGAUACUAUCUGUCUUGAAUAUUGUGGAGGUAAGCGGAAUAUGUCAUGUAGCGGUGAAAUGCUUAGAUAUGACAUAGAACACCUAUUGCGAAGGCAGCUUACUGCGCAUAUAUUGACGCUGAGGCACGAAAGCGUGGGGAUCAAACAGG